Molecule: ribosomal RNA, 384 nt
Filed under: uncultured bacterium
Lineage: Bacteria
Description: bacterial SSU rRNA
Rfam family: Bacterial small subunit ribosomal RNA
Source: RNAcentral
GACGAACGCUGGCGGCGUGCUUAACACAUGCAAGUCGAGCGGUAAGGCCCUUUCGGGGGUACACGAGCGGCGAACGGGUGAGUAACACGUGGGUGACCUGCCCUCAGCUCUGGGAUAAGCCUGGGAAACCGGGUCUAAUACUGGAUAUGACUCCAUGACGCAUGUUGUGGGGUGGAAAGCCUUGUGCGGCUGAGGAUGGGCCCGCGGCCUAUCAGCUUGUUGGUGGGGUGANGGCCUACCAAGGCGACGACGGGUAGCCGGCCUGAGAGGGCGACCGGCCACACUGGGACUGAGACACGGCCCAGACUCCUACGGGAGGCAGCAGUGGGGAAUCUUGCGCAAUGGGCGAAAGACCUGACGCAGCGACGCCGCCGUGAGGGAGUG